UUCCCUCACACAAGGUAAGACAAUCUACUUACCUUGAACCAACUCAAAAAUCAAUCCAAUAUCACGCUCUUGCCACGAGUAUCCAACUCCGAGCAGCCCAAAUCUAAUCAAAUCAAUUACAUAACAUAAAUAAAACUGCAAGAAUCUAGUUUAACUAAUGAAUUUGAAGCUAUGACGAGAAAUAAGAAAAAUGCCCAAAACUCUUCCCCGGUCCCAAGACUCGUACUCGGGUAAAAAUUAUGGAUUAUGAACGCCAAUUUACUUAAGCGUUCACUCGUACAAAAUCAUCCCAAUCCGUCAUCAAAUUCAUAUUCAAAACUCAAAUUUUCUAUUGGGAAACUUUUUCGCUCGUUUCCAGACUUCUACCCUCAAAUUCCUUUAUUAGAUGACAAAAAUAAUAAUAGAUUAAUGUAUUAGAACCAAUUUAUAGUUUGAAUUCGUUACCCAGUAGUUAUCCUUCAAAAUCUCUCAAGAAAUUCACCUAUUCCCGAGCUCAAAAUCAAAAUUUGAAGUUAUGAACUCAAACCCUCGAAGUUUCAUAUUUCUGUCCAGCGAUUACCACAUCUGCGGUCAUGAGGCCGCAUCUAUGACCAGAGAACCGCUCCUGCGAAAACUCAUUAAACCUCCAAGCACCGCACAUGCACUCCUCUCUUCGCAGAUGCGCUCCCGCUUCUGCAGUCCUUGAGCCGCAUCUACAUCCAACUGACCUCAUGCCUCAGACCGCAUCUACAGUCACCAAAACGCUUAUGUGAUGCCGUGCCUGCGGUCCAAAAUCUGCAGGUGCAAAAAUAAUAGGUUUAGCAAAUUCAGAAAUUGCCCAAGUCCAAAUUCCAAUCCGUUAAGCAUCUGAAACUCACCCGAGGCCCCCGGGACCUCAACCAAACAUACUAACGAGUCCUAAAAUAUCAUGCGGGCUCAAUCGAACCCUCAAUCACAUCAAACAAUUCCAAAAUCACGAAUUGCACUCCAAUCUAAGCCUAAUAAACUUGAAAUCCCAAGAAUUCUACAACUGAUGCCGAAACUAACCAAACCAUGUCUGAUUGACCUUAAAUUUUGCACAGAAGUCACAUGCAAUACUACAGAACUAUUCCAACUUUCAGAAUCGGAUUCCGACCUCGAUAUCAAAAUCUCGGUAUCGAUCCGGAAACUUCAAAAAUUCAACUUUUGGCAUUUCAAGCCUAAAUAAGUUACAGACCUCCAAAACACAAUCCGAAUACGCCUCUAAGCCUGAAAUCACCCAACGGUGCUAGCUGAAUUGACAGAAUCCCAUUCCGAGGCCGGCCUCAUACUAUUUCGACUACGGUCUAAAUUCUAAAGCUUAAACUUUCACUUAGGGACUAAAUGCGUCAAAACACUCUGAAACUCAAAAUGAAUCUUUCCGGUAAUUCAUGAUAGCAAAAACAAAAACAGAGAAAGCAGUUAAUAGGGAAUUGAUACAUUAAUUCUCAAAAUAACUGACCGAAUCGUUACAUAUAAUCUGUUGGAGAUGGUGGGGGAUUUUCCUUCCAAACAUCUUGAUGAUAAGUUAGAAUUUUCAUGGUUGAUAUAUCCUAAGUUUUUACUCCCGUGACAGUGGGGUUGGCUCUGUGCUCCCUAUGUUUGAAGUCGUUUCAAGCUCUAUUCCUGGUAGCAUUAUGGAUUGUAAACAUUUGACUUUGUCAAGUGUUUCUCUACUAGGAUUUCCUUGAAGGUAUUCUUGAUUGUUGGUUCCACAUCCAUUAGUGUAAUGUAAAUGUCCGGUAGUUCAAAGGAUUCCUGUAGCAAUGGGGUAUUGGGUCCUUUGCUAGCUGUGGGGAUAAAG
RNAcentral lists this long non-coding RNA (1801 nucleotides) under Nicotiana benthamiana. Its description in RNAcentral is "long non-coding RNA (NBEN_LNC003268)". The record is from RNAcentral. Lineage: Eukaryota; Viridiplantae; Streptophyta; Magnoliopsida; Solanales; Solanaceae.